Molecule: ribosomal RNA, 519 nt
Filed under: Stauralia chloracantha
Lineage: Eukaryota; Metazoa; Arthropoda; Insecta; Hemiptera; Acanthosomatidae
Description: partial 16S ribosomal RNA
Rfam family: Bacterial large subunit ribosomal RNA
Source: RNAcentral
GGCUUAUUGUAAAUUUAUAUUAAGUUUUACCUGCUCAAUGAUAUUUAAUAUUAAAUAGCCGCAGUAUUUUGACUGUGCAAAGGUAGCAUAAUCAUUUGUCUUUUAAUUGAAGACUUGUAUGAAUGGUUUGAUGAAAUACCAACUUUCUUUACAUAAAUUUGAUUAAUUUAAUUUUUUAGUUAAAAAGCUAAAAUGUUUUUAUAGGACGAGAAGACCCUAUAGAAUUUUAUUUUUUUAUAAUUAAUUGAUUUUUUGGUUAUUAUUAAUUUUUUAUUUAUAAGGAAAUUUUGUUGGGGUGACAGGGAAAUUUUUUUAACUUUCUUUAUUAUUUUUUAUUGAUUUAUAUAUUUUUGAUCCUAUUUUAUGGAUAAUAAGAUUAAAUUACCUUAGGGAUAACAGCGUAAUUCUUUUGGAGAGUUCAUAUCGAUAAAAGAGAUUGCGACCUCGAUGUUGGAUUAAAAUUAGUAUUAGGUGUAGGUGCUUAUUAUACUAGGUCUGUUCGACCUUUAAUUUUUUACA